RNAcentral lists this ribosomal RNA (213 nucleotides) under Chaetothyriales sp. RNAcentral describes it as "partial large subunit ribosomal RNA". The record is from RNAcentral. Lineage: Eukaryota; Fungi; Ascomycota; Eurotiomycetes; Chaetothyriales.
AAGCGCUUGCAACCAGACUUGUGUGUGGCGGCUCCCCUCGUCUUCUGACGGGGUUAUUCUGCCAUAACCAGGCCAGCAUCGAUUUAGGUGGCCAGUUAAAGGCUCGGGGAAUGUAUCUACCCACGGGUAGACUUAUAGACCGGGGUGUCAUGCGACCUCCCGGGACCGAGGAACGCGCUUCGGCUCGGAUGUUGGCGUAAUGGUUGUCAGCGA